UAAGUGCUGAAAGCAUCUAAGCACGAAACUUGCCCCGAGAUGAGUCUUCCCUGAGACUUUGAGUCUCCUGAAGGAACGUUAAAGACGAUGACGUUGAUAGGCCGGGUGUGUAAGCGCAGCGAUGCGUUGAGCUAACCGGUACUAAUGAACCGUGAGGCUUAACCUUACAACGCCGAAGCUGUU
Molecule: ribosomal RNA, 183 nt
Filed under: Salmonella enterica
Lineage: Bacteria; Pseudomonadati; Pseudomonadota; Gammaproteobacteria; Enterobacterales; Enterobacteriaceae
Also listed under: 1 other name
Description: partial 23S ribosomal RNA
Rfam family: Bacterial large subunit ribosomal RNA
Source: RNAcentral